This 74-nucleotide transfer RNA is filed under the name Phlebia radiata. RNAcentral's name for it is "tRNA-Lys". It matches the Rfam family "tRNA". Rfam says of the family: Transfer RNA (tRNA) molecules are approximately 80 nucleotides in length. Their secondary structure includes four short double-helical elements and three loops (D, anti-codon, and T loops). The record is from RNAcentral. Lineage: Eukaryota; Fungi; Basidiomycota; Agaricomycetes; Polyporales; Meruliaceae. RNAcentral also lists the same sequence under 2 other names.
GCCUGCCUAGCUCAAUCGGAUAGAGCGUGAGACUUUUAAUCUCAAGGCUGCGGGUUCGACCCCCGCGGUGGGCU